UACCAAUGGUUCGAGGGAUCAGAGAUCCAAACACGACUCAAAAUCGUGUUGCGCAAGGAGUGUCGGUUCGACCCCGACCAUCGGUAUC
Molecule: transfer RNA, 88 nt
Filed under: Neobacillus rhizosphaerae
Lineage: Bacteria; Bacillati; Bacillota; Bacilli; Caryophanales; Bacillaceae
Description: Neobacillus sp. JJ-3 tRNA-Leu
Source: RNAcentral